CGGAUGGUGAAAUUGGUAGACACAAGGGACUUAAAAUCCCUCGGCCUUAUGGCUUUGCGGGUUCAAGUCCCGCUCCGGGUAUUA
RNAcentral lists this transfer RNA (84 nucleotides) under Buchnera aphidicola str. APS (Acyrthosiphon pisum). Its description in RNAcentral is "tRNA-Leu (TAA)". It matches the Rfam family "tRNA". From Rfam's summary of the family: Transfer RNA (tRNA) molecules are approximately 80 nucleotides in length. Their secondary structure includes four short double-helical elements and three loops (D, anti-codon, and T loops). The record is from RNAcentral. RNAcentral also lists the same sequence under 2 other names. Lineage: Bacteria; Pseudomonadati; Pseudomonadota; Gammaproteobacteria; Enterobacterales; Erwiniaceae.